RNAcentral lists this long non-coding RNA (313 nucleotides) under Ananas comosus (pineapple). Its description in RNAcentral is "long non-coding RNA (ACOM_LNC034990)". The record is from RNAcentral. Lineage: Eukaryota; Viridiplantae; Streptophyta; Magnoliopsida; Poales; Bromeliaceae.
CAUCCAAAUUGGAAUGUUUUGGGGCAGCGGGUGAUUCGUGGUACGAGUCGGUGAGUUCGGGACACUUAGUGGGUCCCGACGACGUCCCGGUGUAGUUUUCGGGACUUCCGGUGAGUUACGGUAAUCGGUUUUGGGAAACCGAUUACGGGGAUCUUGUGUGGGGGUUUGUGAGUCUCGUGCUUUGGGUUAGUGGUUUGGAUACUGACUUGGUGGAUCUUCUUAGGUCCGGUAGACUCUGUGCGUACCCAGUGUUCCGACGCGACAGUGACAGGUGGGUGCUUCGAGCUGGUAGUCGGUGAGAGCGUUUCACCUC